RNAcentral lists this ribosomal RNA (494 nucleotides) under uncultured bacterium. Its description in RNAcentral is "partial 16S ribosomal RNA". It matches the Rfam family "Bacterial small subunit ribosomal RNA", at positions 28 to 507 of the family's 1533-position model. The record is from RNAcentral.
GACGAACGCUGGCGGCGUGCUUAACCCAUGCAAGUCGAACGGAAAGGCCUGCUUUCCCUUGUGGAUUGCGGGUACUCGAGUGGCGAACGGGUGAGUAACACGUGAGUGAUCUGCCCCCAACUUGGGUAUAAGCCUGGGAAACUGGGUCUAAUUCCCGAUAGGACUGCAGGGUGGUGCCUGUGGUGGAAAACGAUUUUCUAGUGGUUGGGGAUGAGCUCGCGGCCUAUCAGCUUGUUGGUGGGGUAAUGGCCUACCAAGGCGGCGACGGGUAGCCGGCCUGAGAGGGUGGACGGCCACAUUGGGACUGAGAUACGGCCCAGACUCCUACGGGAGGCAGCAGUGGGGAAUAUUGCACAAUGGGCGGAAGCCUGAUGCAGCGACGCCGCGUGGGGGAUGACGGCCUUCGGGUUGUAAACUCCUUUCGACCGCGAGGAAGCCACCUGGUUGGAAGGGUGGUGACGGUAGUGGUAGAAGAAGCACCGGCUAACUACGUG